This 433-nucleotide ribosomal RNA is filed under the name uncultured bacterium. RNAcentral describes it as "partial 16S ribosomal RNA". It matches the Rfam family "Bacterial small subunit ribosomal RNA", at positions 29 to 507 of the family's 1533-position model. The record is from RNAcentral.
AACGAACGCUGGCGGCAUGCCUAACACAUGCAAGUCGAACGAGACCUUCGGGUCUAGUGGCGCACGGGGGCGUAACGCGUGGGAACCUGCCCUUAGGUUCGGAAUAACUCACAGAAAUAUGAGCUAAUACCGGAUGAUGUCUUCGGACCAAAGAUUUAUCGCCUUUGGAUGGGCCCGCGUUGGAUUAGCUAGUUGGUGGGGUAAAGGCCUACCAAGGCGACGAUCCAUAGCUGGUCUGGGAGGAUGAUCAGCCACACUUGGACUGAGACACGGACCAGACUCCUACGGGAGGCAGCAGUGGGGAAUAUUGGACAAGGGGCGAAAGCGUGAUACAGCAAGGCCGCGGGAGUGAUGAAGGCCUUAGGGUUGUAAAGCUCUUUUACCCGAGAUGAUAAUGACAGUAACGGGAGAAGAAGCUCCGGCUAACUCCGUG